GGUGUACGGGUCCAGCUUUGCGCUCGGUCAGAUCCUCUUUCUUUCAGAGACGCAGGAGACGCAGAGAGAAGCUGCGCUACUUUGUGACUGGGAAAUGGGACAAUUGCAGGAUGGAGGAGCAGCGGAGGCGCUGCUCGAGCCCGGACCGUACCAUGUUCACCAACGAGAGGGGGGUGACGGAGGGAGUCACUCAGCAGCUCAGUAGUAGUAGGGCCAGGCGUACGGGGGAAAAAAUGAGAGGAGGACGAUUUUUUAAAAAUCUUACAGGGCGUGAAUGAAGCCGAAAUGCCGAGAAACAAAGUUGAAAUAGUAUUUUGUCGAAAAUAAUUGUGACCCGGAAGCACUUUUCAGCAGCACCAAACGACCGGAUGUUGAUGUUUUGCGAGCCAAGUUUGCUAAGCUAACGCUAGCCGCUAACCGAGUCGUAAAGUUGCGAUAUUAUUAUUAUCGACAGGCUGAACCUGGAAGAAACGACGCGGUGACAACGGGUGUUUGCACAUGAACGUCGACGUGUGUCCCGACACGAUAACGUUCAACUGCACACGACCGUGGAUUGGUUUUUAAGAGGCGUGCAGUCACCGGAGCUAGCGUAGCUUUGCUAACAAAAAAGGACAAAACCCUGAAACCGUGCUCCGUCUGUGACCUUCCAGACUGUAAAGCUUGUAUCACAACGGAAAGGAGGGAGGAGGCAUCCAGCAGGUAUCCGCUCUCCACUGUAAUACUUUCCCAUCCGUCCAUAACCUCUGGGCAUACUUCAAUAAAGAAAUAUGAAGAACAUAAAUGCGCUUUUGUGAAAAUGUGUUUUUGCAGCCAUAUGCCGAACUUCAAUACAACAAAGACAAACAAACCCAGCAUAAAAACCCAGUGUACACAACUCUCUGAGUACAGAGACAUUCAGAGAUUUCCCUCAGGAGUUAGUCGACCCCGAAAAAAACGCACUCACAUUCGUCAUGUGGACAGAAACACGACUACAAACGAAAUACACUUGUGUAACUGUGCCACUGUGUUUGCUGAGAAGUUUAUCAUAAGGUGAUAAUAUGUCACUUCAGUGUUCACAGCUUGUUCUACUGCCCCCAAGUGGACGGGAAAAUGAUCUGUAACGUCAACAAGUUUGGUUGCAAAGCCCCAACCGAUACUGAUGUCAGGGUGUAAAAAUAAAAAUAUACACAAUG
This is a long non-coding RNA of Scophthalmus maximus (turbot), 1172 nucleotides long. RefSeq lists it as uncharacterized. The transcript has 4 exons. NCBI's taxonomy places the organism in Eukaryota, Metazoa, Chordata, Actinopteri, Pleuronectiformes, Scophthalmidae. The record is from RefSeq and is a predicted model, not a curated record.